ACGAUGCGUAGGGGUUCUGAGAGGAAGGUCCCCCACAUUGGAACUGAGACACGGUCCAAACUCCUACGGGAGGCAGCAGUGAGGAAUAUUGGUCAAUGGCCGGAAGGCUGAACCAGCCAAGUCGCGUGAGGGAAUAAGGCCCUAUGGGUCGUAAACCUCUUUUGUCAGGGAGCAAAGGCGUCCACGUGUGGACGAGAGGAGAGUACCUGAAGAAAAAGCAUCGGCUAACUCCGUGCCAGCAGCCGCGGUAAUACGGAGGAUGCGAGCGUUAUCCGGAUUUAUUGGGUUUAAAGGGUGCGUAGGCGGAGUGUCAAGUCAGCGGUAAAAUUUCGGGGCUCAACCCCGUCGUGCCGUUGAAACUGACACCCUUGAGUGAGUGAGAAGUAAGCGGAAUGCGUGGUGUAGCGGUGAAAUGCAUAGAUAUCACGCAGAACGCCGAUUGCGAAGGCAGCUUACCGGCGCUCAACUGACGCUGAGGCACGAAAGUGCGGGUAUCGAACAGGAUUAGAUACCCUGGUAGUCCGCACAGUAAACGAUGAAUGCUAGAUGUCCGGGGCGAAUGAGCUCUGG
Molecule: ribosomal RNA, 570 nt
Filed under: uncultured bacterium
Lineage: Bacteria
Description: bacterial SSU rRNA
Rfam family: Bacterial small subunit ribosomal RNA
Source: RNAcentral